AUAUGUGGGGCUUCUUGCUCUGCAAUUGGAAUGAGAACAAUUUAAAUCACUUAACGAGUAUCAAUUGGAGGGCAAGUCUGGUGCCAGCAGCCGCGGUAAUUCCAGCUCCAAUAGCGUAUAUGUAAGUUGUUGCGAUUAAAAAGCCCGUAGCUGAACCUCGGGCAACCCUGACGGUCCGCGUUUCGUGAGUACUGUCGUGGGUUGUCUUUCUGGCAAGACCGUAUCUCGGCGUUAACUCGCCGGGAACGGCGCUUGCCAAGGUUACUUUGAGUAAAAUAGAGUGUUCAAAGCAAGCUCGCGCUCUGAAUACAC
RNAcentral lists this ribosomal RNA (312 nucleotides) under uncultured Cladophora. Its description in RNAcentral is "SSU rRNA". It matches the Rfam family "Eukaryotic small subunit ribosomal RNA", at positions 477 to 804 of the family's 1831-position model. Lineage: Eukaryota; Viridiplantae; Chlorophyta; Ulvophyceae; Cladophorales; Cladophoraceae. The record is from RNAcentral.